RNAcentral lists this long non-coding RNA (7538 nucleotides) under Solanum tuberosum (potato). RNAcentral's name for it is "long non-coding RNA (STUB_LNC011134)". Lineage: Eukaryota; Viridiplantae; Streptophyta; Magnoliopsida; Solanales; Solanaceae. The record is from RNAcentral.
CCACAAUAAUCUCAAAGGUGAUAUUCCAAUGGAAUUGGGGCAAUUGAAUUCACUUGAAGCCUUAGAUCUCUCUUGGAAUCGGCUCACUGGAAAGAUUCCACAGGAAUUGACAAGAAUGAACUUUCUGGCGUUCUUAAACCUCUCUCAAAACCAGCUCGUUGGACGCAUUCCUCAAGGUUCACAAUUCAGCACAUUUGAAAAUGACUCGUAUGGUGGCAACCUUGAUUUAUGUGGUCCUCCUUUGUCAAAGCAAUGUGGAACGAGUGAUCGCUCACAUGUUCCUCAAUCACUGGAGGAUGAAGCAGAAGAAGAUGAGUCAUAUUUCUUCAGUGGAUUUACGUGGGAAUCAGUAGUCAUAGGCUACAGUUUUGGACUAGUUGUUGGAACUGUCAUGUGGAGUCUCAUGUUUAAAUAUCGUAAGCCAAAAUGGUUUGUGGAAUUUUUUGAAGGCAUUUAUCCCAAGAAAAUGAGAAAUAGGCUACAGUUUUGGACUAGUUGUUGGAACUGUCAUGUGGAGCCUCAUGUUUAAUUAUCGUAAGCCAAAAUGGUUUGUCGAAUUUUUUGACGGCAUCAUGCCCCACAAAAGGAGAAGGCCAAAGAAGAGAAGGCUGAGACGGCAGACAUAAUGGAAGAUUGAAAGAUUGAACUUUUCUGUUUCUGUUUUUUCUGUUUGUUGUUUGUAUAUUCUUCAUACAAACUUAACUGUAUGUGUUUUUUUUUAAAUUAAUGUAUCUUUUUCGGAGACUUGUUUGUGGUGGAAGGAUCUAAGCAUUGUUAGUAAAUUUCCCAAAACUUAGUUCGAAAUUGAAGUUGAUCCAUUCAAAACACACGAUCUCUUAUUUAGAAAAAAAGAAAAAUUGUAUGGUUCUUUUGAGUAACUGUUAUGCAGAUUGAUUCCACUAUUUUCGUGGCUUGGUUAAUAUUGUUACAAUGAACGAACUCAUAGAUGCUACUAUAGCAGAAAUGCCAUCUGGAUGCUAAACAUUGCACCUCGAUUAUUUCACCGGUACCUGCUGUGGGACACUAGGUAGGACACGUGUGUCUAUUUGUUCAGCUUUAUAAAAAUGUAAGUGUCUACUUGUGUAUAAUCAAAGUUGAAGGACAUAAAUAUAUUACGUUUGUAUAUUAUGCCAUAAACAUAAAUUGCACGUCAAAUAAGAAGAAUAAAAAAACAUUGUAUUAUUGGGAAAAAAGUUGAGAAUUUAGGCCAUGGAUAAGAUCUUUGACCAAAAAGACAAAAUACCAAAAAAAAAAUGUAAAAGUAAAGUGACAUUUUAUGAAAGGAAAAAGCAUAUGAAAGUCUUUGUUAUAUAUUUUUUUGGUGAAAAGUAAAAGGACAUUUAGGUCUUCCACUUUGAUGUUCUUUUUUUUAUAUAUAUGAAUAUGAAUAUGAUGAUUGAUUUGCAAGAAGAGAACAUCCUGCUAUUUGUUGAAUACAAACAAACAAAUGGGAUGUUUCCUUUUCUUUUCUUCAUUUCUCUGUUUUGUGUUGCUAAUAAGUGGAUGUUUUUCUUCAUCCAUUGAUCAUCAUCUUUGCUCUCCCACUGAAGCUUCUGCUUUGCUUCAGUUUAAGCAACCCUUUGAGAUUACAUCCGAGUACUCUUGUCAUUUCCGAGGACAAGCUUCUUUCCCGAAAACAAAGUCUUGGAAUGAGAGUAGGGAUUGUUGUACUUGGGACGGAGUCACUUGUGACAUGUUAAACGGUCAUGUUAUUGGGUUGGACCUUAGUUGCAGUCUGCUAAAAGGAACUAUUCAUCCGAAAAGCAGCCUCUUCCAACUUCUUUAUCUUCAAACACUAAACCUUGCUUACAAUAACUUUUCAACUUCUUCAAUCCCACAUAACAUUGGCCGAUUGACAAAUUUGAGGAAUCUCAACCUUUCUUAUUCUUACUUUGAUGGGAAAAUCCCAACAGAAAUCUCAUUGCUUUCCAAUUUAGUUUCACUUGAUCUUUCUCCUCCUUAUAAGUAUGGAUUACAACUUGAUCAGAGAACAUUUGAGGCAAUGCUUCACAACUUGACAAAUCUGGAGGUACUAUCUCUCUCUUUUGUCAACAUCUCAUCUCCGAUACCUGUGAAUAUUUCUUCCUCCUUAAGGUACAUGGAUCUUGAAUAUACUAAUCUGCGAGGUGUUCUCACAGAGAACUUUUUUCUUAUGCCAAACUUGGAAAGGCUUAAAUUGGGUUUCAAUGCUCUUCUCAAAGGAGUUUUACCAAAGAUCCACCCGAGCAGUACUCUGUUGGAGUUGGAUAUUUCAUACACAGGAAUCUCCGGUGAGCUGCCUGAUUCAAUUGGCACCUUGAGUUCUUUGAAUAUCUUGUACUUCCGUGGAUGUGAAUUUUCUGGUCACAUUCCUGAUUCCAUUGGCAAUCUUACACAAAUUCGGGAGUUGAUUUUAUCUGAUAAUCGUUUCACUGGCCACAUUCCUUCCACAAUCUCUAAAUUGAAGCACCUCACACAUUUAGUUCUUGAGUCCAAUUCCUUUUCAGGUGAAAUUCCAGAUGUUUUCUCUAACCUCCAAGAGCUACGUUAUUUACAUCUUUAUAGUAACAGCUUCAUUGGUUCGUUUCCUUCUACAAUUUUAAACUUGAUACAUCUUCAAUACUUAGACUUGUCGAGUAAUUCCCUAUCUGGCUCACUGCCCAGCAAUGCAAGCAUGUUUCCAAAGCUAACCGAGCUGGAUUUGUCAUACAACUCACUGAAUGGUACCAUACCAUCUUGGGUGCUUAGCCUCCCUUUGCUAACAUCACUGUCGCUCCAAAAUAAUCAAUUUAGUGGACUAGCCGAUGAGCUCAAAAAUAACCCAACAUUAGAAUACCUGUUUUUAAGCAAUAAUCAACUCAGUAGUUCUUUUCCUCAAUCUCUUGCGAAUCUCACAAACCUUUUUACCCUUGACAUUUCAUCAAAUAACAUCACGGGUGAUGCGGGAAUAAAUAUCACCUUUCCUAGCCUAGAAAAAGUGUUCUUAUCAUCUUGUGAAUUGAGGGAUUUUCCACACUUCUUGAGAAAUGUAAACACACUUCAGGUCUUGGAUAUUUCUAACAAUAAGAUUCGUGGUCAAAUCCCUAACUGGUUUAGCAGCAUGAGGUGGAACUCGUUGCAGUUCUUAAACCUUUCUCAUAAUUCAUUAACAGGCCAUCUACCACAAUUUCAUUAUUAUAGUCUAAAGUAUCUUGAUCUUAAAUUUAACUUCCUUCGGGGGUCACUACCUUUAUCCAUUUGUAACAUGAAUAGCCUUAGCCUUCUGGAUUUAUCACACAACAACUUCAGUGGCUCUGUUCCACAUUGCUUCGGCAGCAUGGUUGAGCUAUCUGUGUUAGACUUUAGAAGAAAUAACUUCACAGGGAGUCUUCCACCAUUUUGUGCACAGACCGAUUCAUUGAAAACCAUCGUCUUGAAUGGUAAUCUAUUGAAAGGACCUGUCCCUGUGUCGUUGCUCAACUGUGUUGGUUUAGAAGUUCUUGAUUUGGGGAAUAACGCUAUAAAUGACAUAUUUCCAGCUUGGCUAGGAACACUUCAAGAACUGCAGGUCCUAAUAUUAAAGUUCAAUCUGUUCCAUGGACCUAUAAGUACUUGUCAGACUGAGUUUUGCUAUCCCAAAUUGCGAAUUUUUGAUCUUUCUCGUAAUGAAUUCAGUGGAUCACUUCCUGCAAAAGCUUUUGGAAACUUCAAGGCAAUGAUCAAAUUAGAUGGUGAAGAUACAAGAGAGAUCAAGUACAUGGAACCAUAUGAGAAUUUCUCUUACACAUCGUAUGAGAAUUCAGUGAGGUUGGUAAUCAAAGGGCACGAUACUGAGCUAGAAAGAAUCAGCACAAUUAUGACAACCAUAGAUCUCUCAAGCAACCAUUUUGAAGGUGUCAUUCCGAAAACACUAAAGGAUCUCAGCUCACUUUGGCUACUCAAUUUAUCCCAUAACAAUCUCAUAGGUCAUAUUCCAAUGGAAUUGGGGCAAUUGAAUAUGCUUGAAGCAUUAGAUCUCUCCUGGAAUCGGCUCACUGGAAAGAUACCACAGGGAUUGACAAGAAUGAACUUUUUAACAGUCUUAAACCUCUCUCAAAAUCAUCUCGUUGGACCAAUUCCUCACGGUCCACAAUUCAACACAUUUGAAAAUGGUUCGUAUGGUGGCAACCUUGAUUUAUGUGGUCCUCCUCUAUCAAAGCAAUGCGGAACGAGUGAUUCAUCACAUGUUCCUCAACCAUUGGAGUCCGAAGAAGAUGAAGACGAGUCAUAUUUUUUUAGUGGAUUUACGUGGGAAUCAGUAGUCUUAGGCUACAGUUUUGGACUCGUUGCUGGAACGGUUGUGUGGAGCCUCAUUUUUAAAUAUCGUAAACCAAAAUGGUUUGUCGAAUUUUUUGAAGGCAUUUUUCCCAAGAAAAUGAGAAGGUCAAAGAAGAGAAGGCCAAGACAAAGGACAUAAUGGAAGAUUGAACUUUUCUAUUACUGUUUUUGUUUUUUAAUUUUAUGUUUGCUGUUUGUAUAUGUUUGAUAACAACUUAAUUGUUAUGUGUUAUUUUAGCAUCAAUGGUUAUUCAAGUAAAGCAUUUUUUAUGCUUAAUCCCAAACAUACUAGAUGGACACCUUCCUGUACAUUUACUCAAGCAGCUCGAAACAUCUUGACCUUUUAUGAUUGUAUAGAUUCCACGAAAAAAUUGCACAAAAAAUUUAUUGCAUUCGUCCAACUUGGUUUCACUUGAUUAAAGUGUUCCCUCUUGUCACUAUCUCAUCCAUGGACCACUAAUUGGUUCAAUGACUUCAAAAUUAUACACUCUAUUAUCAACUUAAAGCAGCACAACACAUCUUGACCUAUUAUGAUCGUAUAGAUUCCAUGAAAAAAUUGCACUAAAAAUUUAUUGCAUUCAUACAACUCGACACAUCAUGUCAUUUGACUUAGUCAAUCAAUAGUUUCUCUUUUUGAACAUUCUUGUGGGAAAACUAGAAAAAUAUGGCUGAUAAGUUGGAAGUCAACCAAAGAGAUGUUGAUGGGACAAUAAUAGCAGAGAGUUCAAUUAGCUGUAAACAACUCAAACAAAAAAUAUCGCUCUAUUUACAUAGUAUAAUUUUUCAACGAGCAGGAUUUAGGUGAACCCCUUGCACCUCUAUGUCUCCAUCCCUAAUCAGAGUGUGGAGAAAGUCAGCCCUUUAACUAUAUAUAUAUACCGUGGAUUAUGAUUGAUUUUGUAAGAACAUUUUGUUAUCUGCUAAAAAUAAACAAUGGGACGUCUAGUUUUCUUUUAUUCAAUUCUCUGUUUUGUCUUCCUAAGUCAAAGCUUUUCUUCAUCCUUUGUGCAGCAUCUUUGCUCUCCCAGUGAAGCUUUAUCUUUGCUUCAGUUCAAGCAACACUUUCAAAUGUCCGACAAGUACUCUAAACAUUAUAGUACUUCUCUCCCAAAAGCAUCGUCUUGGAAUGAGAGUACGGAUUGCUGCACUUGGGGAUGGAUCACUUGUGACAUGUUAACUGGUUAUGUAAUUGGCCUAGACCUUAGUAAUGCAAAUCUUAGCGGAACUAUUCAUCCUAACAGCAGCCUCUUUCAACUUCAUCGUCUUCAGACGCUAAACCUUGCUUACAAUAACUUAUCUGGUCUCAUUCCUGAUUCCAUUGGCAACUUCACACAAAUCAGAGAGUUGGAUUUUGGUUCCAAUCAUUUCACUGGCCAUAUUCCUUCAACAAUCUCAAAAUUGAAACAUCUCACACGUCUAGAUCUUUCGUUUAACUCACUUGGAGGUAAAAUUCCCGAUGUUUUCUCUAACCUCCGAGAGCUAGUUACAUUGUAUCUUUCUUAUAACAGCUUCAUCGGUCCAUUUCCCUCUUCGAUUUUAAACUUGACACGUCUUGAAAACUUAGACUUGUCUAGUAAUUCCUUGUCUGGUCCAUUGCCAAACAAUGUCAGCAUGCUUCUAAAGCUAGUUGACCUGGAUUUUUCUCACAACUUGCUAAAUGGAACAAUACCAUCUUGGGUGUUUAGCCUCCCUUCUUUAUAUAUGUUGGAGCUCCAUCAUAAUCUAUUCAAUGGACUAUCCGAUGAGCUCAAAGUGAAUCGAGCAGUAGGGCGUUUGGAUUUGAGUUAUAAUCAACUCAAUAGUCCUGUUCUUCGAUCACUUCAAAAGCUCACAAACCUUGUAAACCUUGACCUUUCAUCAAACAACAUCACCGUUGAUGGGGGGACACACAUCACUUUUCCUAGACUAGAAAUUUUGCGGUUAUCAUCUUGUGAACUGAAGGAUUUUCCACAGUUUCUAAGAAAUUUAAAGACACUUCAGGUCAUAAAUCUUUCUAACAACAAGAUUCGUGGUCAAAUCCCUAACUGGUUUAGCGGGAUGAGGUGGGACUCGUUGUUUCACCUAAACCUUUCAUAUAAUUCACUCAAUGGUCACAUAGAUCUAUCUCAUUUCUAUAGUCUAGUGUCUCUUGAUCUUAAAUUUAACUUCCUUCAGGGUCCACUACCUGCAUCCAUUUGUAACAUGAGCAUCAUUAGCCUUCUGGAUUUAUCACACAACUACUUCAGUAACUCGAUUCCAAGUUGCUUGGGUAACAUGACUCAGCUAACGGUGUUGGACUUAAGAAGGAACAAUUUCACUGGAAGUCUUCCACCGUUAUGUAGUCAACACACUUCAUCGACUACCAGUAUUCUGAAUGGUUAUGGUAAUCAAUUGACGACCAUUAUCUUGAAUGGUAAUCAUUUUGAAGGACAUGUCCCUGUGUCAUUACUCAACUGUGUUGGUUUAGAAGUUCUUGAUAUCGGGAACAACGCUGUAAAUGACUCAUUUCCAGCUUGGCUAGGAACUCUUCAAGAGCUGCAAGUCCUUAUAUUAAAGUCGAACAAGUUCCAUGGACCUAUAAGUACUAGGCUGAAGUUUGGGUUUCCCAGGUUGCGGAUUUUAGAUCUCUCUCAUAAUGAGUUCAGUGGCUCACUGCCUGCAGAAGUUUUUCAAAACUUCAAAGGAAUGAUCAAAAUAGAUGACAGUGACAAAGGUGAGAUCGAAUAUAUGAAAACAUCAGACUCAUUUUUUGUUAUGUACGAUGAUUCAGUGAGGUUGGUGAUCAAAGGAAACGAUAUGGAGCUAGAAAGAAUCACUACAAUUAUGACAGCCAUAGAUAUCUCAAGCAAUCAUUUUGAAAGUGUGAUUCCGAAAACACUAAAGGAUCUCAGCUCACUUUGGCUACUCAAUUUAUCUCAUAACAAUCUCAGAGGAGAUAUUCCUAUGGAACUAGGAGGAUUGAAUAUGCUUGAAGCGUUAGAUCUCUCUUGGAAUCAACUCACUGGAAAGAUUCCGCAACAAUUGACAAGGCUAACCUUUCUGGCAUUCUUAAACCUCUCUCAAAAUCACCUAGCUGGACGCAUUCCUCAAGGUUCACAGUUCAACACAUUUGAAAAUGACUCGUAUGGUGGCAACCUAGAUUUAUGUGGUCCUCCUUUAUCAAAGCAAUGUGGAACGGGUGAUCCAUUGCAUAUUCCCCAACCAUUAGAGGAAAAAGAAGAGGACGAGACAUAUUUUUUUAGUGGAUUUACGUGGGAAUCAGUAGUCAUAGGCUACAGUUUUGG